RNAcentral lists this unclassified non-coding RNA (312 nucleotides) under uncultured Geopora. RNAcentral's name for it is "sequence contains ITS1". The stretch from base 1 to 105 matches the Rfam family "5.8S ribosomal RNA", at positions 50 to 154 of the family's 154-position model. The record is from RNAcentral. Lineage: Eukaryota; Fungi; Ascomycota; Pezizomycetes; Pezizales; Pyronemataceae.
GAAAUGCGAUAAGUAGUGUGAAUUGCAGAAUUCCGUGAAUCAUCGAAUCUUUGAACGCACAUUGCGCCUCCUGGUAGUCCGGGAGGCAUGCCUGUUCGAGCGUCACCAAAUCCAACUCAAGCGGUUUUGCGCUUGGUCGUGGCGGAAGAGUCGGUCUGGUUGCCGUCUCCCCUCCGAAAAUCAACGGCGGAAAGUCACUGGCAGUCAGCGUAGUAGUAUCGUUCGCCGAACAUCCAGUGGCAUUCCUGCCGACGUACCCCCACAAUUCUCGUGAUUGACCUCGGAUCAGGUAGGGAUACCCGCUGAACUUAA